UACGUAGGGGGCAAGCGUUGUCCGGAUUUAUUGGGCGUAAAGAGCGCGUAGGCGGCCAGACAGGUCCGUUGUGAAAACUCGAGGCUCAACCUCGAGACGCCGAUGGAAACCGUUUGGCUAGAGUCCGGAAGAGGAGAGUGGAAUUCCUGGUGUAGCGGUGAAAUGCGCAGAUAUCAGGAAGAACACCCGUGGCUAAGGCGGCUCUCUAGUACGGUACUGACGCUGAGACGCGAAAGCGUGGGGAGCGAACAGG
Molecule: ribosomal RNA, 253 nt
Filed under: uncultured bacterium
Lineage: Bacteria
Description: partial 16S ribosomal RNA
Rfam family: Bacterial small subunit ribosomal RNA
Source: RNAcentral